RNAcentral lists this ribosomal RNA (1430 nucleotides) under uncultured organism. RNAcentral's name for it is "bacterial SSU rRNA". It matches the Rfam family "Bacterial small subunit ribosomal RNA". The record is from RNAcentral.
UCCUGGCUCAGGAUGAACGCUAGCGGCAGGCUUACACAUGCAAGUCGAGGGGUAACAGUUCCGCUUCGGUGGAAGCUGACGACCGGCGCACGGGUGAGUAACGCGUAUGCAACUUACCUCUAACUGGAGGAUAGCCCGGGGAAACCCGGAUUAAUACUCCAUAACAUUUUCGGGUUUCAUGGCUUGAAGAUUAAAACUCAGGUGGUUAGAGAUGGGCAUGCGUGCCAUUAGCUAGUUGGUAAGGUAACAGCUUACCAAGGCUACGAUGGCUAGGGGGUCUGAGAGGAUGAUCCCCCACACUGGUACUGAGACACGGACCAGACUCCUACGGGAGGCAGCAGUGAGGAAUAUUGGUCAAUGGGCGCAAGCCUGAACCAGCCAUGCCGCGUGCAGGAUGAAGGUCCUACGGAUCGUAAACUGCUUUUAUACGGGAAGAAAGAUUUUAAUUUAUUAGGAUUUGACUGUACCGUAAGAAUAAGGAUCGGCUAACUCCGUGCCAGCAGCCGCGGUAAUACGGAGGAUCCUAGCGUUAUCCGGAUUCACUGGGUUUAAAGGGUGCGUAGGCGGAAUAGUAAGUCGAUGGUGAAAGCCUGCAGCUUAACUGUAGAAUUGCCAUCGAUACUGUUAUUCUUGAGUACAGUUGAGGUGGGUGGAAUGUGUAAUGUAGCGGUGAAAUGCGUAGAUAUUACACAGAAUACCGAUUGCGCAAGCAGCUCACUAAACUGUUACUGACGCUGAGGCACGAAAGCGUGGGUAGCAAACAGGAUUAGAUACCCUGGUAGUCCACGCUGUAAACGAUGAUCACUCGCUGUUGGCGAUACACAGUCAGCGGCCAAGCGAAAGCGAUAAGUGAUCCACCUGGGGAGUACGUCCGCAAGAAUGAAACUCAAAGGAAUUGACGGGGGCCCGCACAAGCGGAGGAACAUGUGGUUUAAUUCGAUGAUACGCGAGGAACCUUACCUGGGCUUAAAUGCAUAACGACGUACCGGGAAACCGGUAUUCCUUCGGGCGUUUUGCAAGGUGCUGCACGGCUGUCGUCAGCUCGUGCCGUGAGGUGUCGGGUUAAGUCCCAUAACGAGCGCAACCCCUAUUGUUAGUUGCCAACGGGUAAUGCCGGGGACUCUAACGAAACUGCCGGUGUAAACCGGAGGAAGGUGGGGAUGACGUCAAGUCAGCAUGGCCCUUAUGUCCAGGGCUACACACGUGUUACAAUGGUCAGUACAAAGGGCAGCUACUACGCAAGUAGAUGCUAAUCUCUAAAGCUGAUCUCAGUUCGGAUUGAAGUCUGCAACUCGACUUCAUGAAGAUGGAUUCGCUAGUAAUCGCGCAUCAGCAAUGGCGCGGUGAAUACGUUCCCGGGCCUUGUACACACCGCCCGUCAAGCCAUGGGAGUCGGAGGUACCUGAAGUCCGUAACCGUUAAGGAGCGGC